AGUGAACGCUGGCGGUAGGCCUAACACAUGCAAGUCGAACGGCAGCACAGUAAGAGCUUGCUCUUACGGGUGGCGAGUGGCGGACGGGUGAGGAAUACAUCGGAAUCUACUUUUUCGUGGGGGAUAACGUAGGGAAACUUACGCUAAUACCGCAUACGACCUACGGGUGAAAGCAGGGGAUCUUCGGACCUUGCGCGAUUGAAUGAGCCGAUGUCGGAUUAGCUAGUUGGCGGGGUAAAGGCCCACUAAGGCGACGAUCCGUAGCUGGUCUGAGAGGAUGAUCAGCCACACUGGAACUGAGACACGGUCCAGACUCCUACGGGAGGCAGCAGUGGGGAAUAUUGGACAAUGGGCGCAAGCCUGAUCCAGCCAUACCGCGUGGGUGAAGAAGGCCUUCGGGUUGUAAAGCCCUUUUGUUGGGAAAGAAAAGCAGCAGGUUAAUACCCCGCUGUUCUGACGGUACCCAAAGAAUGAGCACCGGCUAACUUCGUG
RNAcentral lists this ribosomal RNA (492 nucleotides) under uncultured bacterium. Its description in RNAcentral is "partial 16S ribosomal RNA". It matches the Rfam family "Bacterial small subunit ribosomal RNA", at positions 29 to 507 of the family's 1533-position model. The record is from RNAcentral.